RNAcentral lists this unclassified non-coding RNA (22 nucleotides) under Chlamydomonas reinhardtii. Its description in RNAcentral is "small RNA Cre_1008". The record is from RNAcentral. Lineage: Eukaryota; Viridiplantae; Chlorophyta; Chlorophyceae; Chlamydomonadales; Chlamydomonadaceae.
CCACCUGAUGCCAACUGAUGGC